GGCUUCGUGAUCAAGUGGUAGAAACAAUUGCCUCUUACGCUGGGGACCUGGGUUCGAUCCCCGGUGGAGGAGCUA
Molecule: non-coding RNA, 75 nt
Organism: Rhamnusium bicolor
Lineage: Eukaryota; Metazoa; Arthropoda; Insecta; Coleoptera; Cerambycidae
Source: the annotation of a GenBank genome assembly